AAUAGAUACCCAGGUAGUCCACGCCGUAAACGAUGAGUGCUAGGUGUUGGGGGGGUCCACCCCUCGGUGCCGAAGUUAACACAUUAAGCACUCCGCCUGGGGAGUACGGUCGCAAGACUGAAACUCAAAGGAAUUGACGGGGACCCGCACAAGCAGUGGAGUAUGUGGUUUAAUUCGAAGCAACGCGAAGAACCUUACCAGGUCUUGACAUCCCUCUGAAUCGUCUAGAGAUAGGCGCGGCCUUCGGGACAGAGGAGACAGGUGGUGCAUGGUUGUCGUCAGCUCGUGUCGUGAGAUGUUGGGUUAAGUCCCGCAACGAGCGCAACCCUUGAUUUUAGUUGCCAGCACUUCGGGUGGGCACUCUAAGGUGACUGCCGGUGACAAAUCGGAGGAAGGUGGGGAUGACGUCAAAUCAUCAUGCCCCUUAUGACCUGGGCUACACACGUACUACAAUGGCCGGUACAACGGGCAGCGAAGGAGCGAUCCGGAGCCAAUCCUCUAAAGCCGGUCUCAGUUCGGAUUGCAGG
This 527-nucleotide ribosomal RNA is filed under the name uncultured bacterium. RNAcentral describes it as "bacterial SSU rRNA". It matches the Rfam family "Bacterial small subunit ribosomal RNA", at positions 777 to 1304 of the family's 1533-position model. The record is from RNAcentral.